UACGUAGGGGGCGAGCGUUGUCCGGAGUGACUGGGCGUAAAGCGCGCGCAGGCGGUUAGACACGCCGGUCGUGAAAGCCCCCGGCUCAACCGGGGCGGGUCGAUCGGGACGGUCUGACUGGAGGGUGUCAGAGGGGGGUGGAACGCCGCGUGGAGCAGUGAAAUGCGUAGAUAUGCGGCAGAACACCGGAGGCGAAGGCGGCCCCCUGGGGCACAUCUGACGCUGAGGCGCGAAGGCGCGGGGAGCGAACGGG
This 253-nucleotide ribosomal RNA is filed under the name uncultured bacterium. RNAcentral describes it as "partial 16S ribosomal RNA". It matches the Rfam family "Bacterial small subunit ribosomal RNA", at positions 524 to 776 of the family's 1533-position model. The record is from RNAcentral.